This 493-nucleotide ribosomal RNA is filed under the name uncultured bacterium. RNAcentral's name for it is "bacterial SSU rRNA". It matches the Rfam family "Bacterial small subunit ribosomal RNA", at positions 1 to 525 of the family's 1533-position model. The record is from RNAcentral.
UAGAGUUUGAUCCUGGCUCAGGACGAACGCUGGCGGCGUGCCUAACACAUGCAAGUCGAGCGAGGAACUUCGGUUCCUAGCGGCGGACGGGUGAGUAACACGUGGGUAACCUGCCUUGUAGAGGGGGAUAGCCUUCCGAAAGGAAGAUUAAUACCGCAUAACAUUGCGAUAUCGCAUGAUAUUGCAAUCAAAGGAGUAAUCCGCUACAAGAUGGACCCGCGGCGCAUUAGCUAGUUGGUGAGGUAACGGCUCACCAAGGCGACGAUGCGUAGCCGGCCUGAGAGGGUGAACGGCCACAUUGGAACUGAGACACGGUCCAGACUCCUACGGGAGGCAGCAGUGGGGAAUAUUGCACAAUGGGCGAAAGCCUGAUGCAGCAACGCCGCGUGAGUGAUGGAGGCCUUCGGGUUGUAAAGCUCUGUCUUCUGGGACGAUAAUGACGGUACCAGAGGAGGAAGCCACGGCUAACUACGUGCCAGCAGCCGCGGUAAUA